Molecule: transfer RNA, 84 nt
Filed under: Paratissierella segnis
Lineage: Bacteria; Bacillati; Bacillota; Tissierellia; Tissierellales; Tissierellaceae
Rfam family: tRNA
About the family: Transfer RNA (tRNA) molecules are approximately 80 nucleotides in length. Their secondary structure includes four short double-helical elements and three loops (D, anti-codon, and T loops).
Source: Rfam by way of RNAcentral
GCCGGUGUGUUGGAAUUGGCAGACAAGACGGGUUCAGAGUCCGUUGCUUGAAAGGGCGUGUGGGUUCAAAUCCCACCAUCGGCA